This 1114-nucleotide long non-coding RNA is filed under the name Junco hyemalis (dark-eyed junco). Its description in RNAcentral is "lncRNA (ENSJHYG00000003481.1)". Lineage: Eukaryota; Metazoa; Chordata; Aves; Passeriformes; Passerellidae. The record is from RNAcentral.
AUGAUAUCGGCUGUCACGGAGCAAGCCCGUUUCCUUCAUUUCCUUAAAAUUAAGGAACUCCAUAAUGAAGGAGGUUAUCAUCCAGGAGUUAUACCCUGCUUGUUUUUAAACCUGCAAAGGGAAGAUACUGUGAACAAAGCAGUGAAGGCUCUCAGGUUCCUCCCCAGGUGCCAGGAGAGGAGUGGGGCUGUUUUGGAUCACCUGAGCACAGGGCUGGAUGCAACUGGGUUCUCAACAUCUGAAAGGGAUGGCGAAAUAAAUUACACAGAUCCCUGUGCAAGUCUGAUCAAGCUCUCAAAGGUGACUUUUGUUCCACGGAGCCACACCUCAGCCUCUCACCUCACCGGGAGAGAAAACCUCCCAGACGUCUCAGUUUUGCAACCGAGCAGUUGUGCCCUUGUCGUGCUUCCAGCAUUUCCUCACAGCCCGCACUCAGAAACGAGGGCUGCGAGUCCCAGCCUCAGCAGGAACGUCUCCCCCAUCAUUAAAUAAUUGAGCUGCUCCUGCAAUCUGGAGCCCGGCAGCCCGAGACGCUACCUCAUAGCUGCUGGGUCGCUGGCACAGGUUUGACAAAACCCUUCAGGGAUGGCUACUGCAGGGAGGCUCUUUCCUGGCAGGUCCCAGCUUGGUUUGUUGGGUCAGUGGGGAGACAGACAGGGCUCGCCACGCCAGGCCCGUGCCAAGCCACGCUGGCCAAAAUUGGCUGAGCCCUGGCUGUACCUUCCAGAAGUACUGAAGAAGGGGUUUUGGUCCUUGGUUGAGGAAAGGAAGGAAAUUUAGGUAUCAGAGUCCUUGGGAGAUGCUGUUUUGCUGCCCUCUAGGCAAAGAUUAAAGCUUGAAAUGUGGAAACUACAGAAAAUGCUGUCCUGAGCACACCAAAGCAAAGCAAAGGGUUGGGAAGGUGGAAAGGCUUUUCGUGGGACUUCAUUAAGGUGUGAGUAUGAAAUCUGUAAAAAGAUCUCUGGCCUCAGAUAAGGGAGAUCCAGUGGUGUACAACAAAGAAUUAUCAGUAAAGGCAUCAUAAUUACAAAGUUCUUUUAUAUUAAAAUGAUGUCAUGUAAUAGGUUGAAGAACAAGAAAUAAAUAAGCUGUGCAGAUCUCCUUUAUCUAAAUA